Molecule: ribosomal RNA, 103 nt
Filed under: Azotobacter beijerinckii
Lineage: Bacteria; Pseudomonadati; Pseudomonadota; Gammaproteobacteria; Pseudomonadales; Pseudomonadaceae
Description: 16S rRNA. Bacterial SSU
Rfam family: Bacterial small subunit ribosomal RNA
Source: RNAcentral
UUGAACUGAAGAGUUUGAUCAUGGCUCAGAUUGAACGCUGGCGGCAGGCCUAACACAUGCAAGUCGAGCGGAUGAGGAGUGCUUGCACUCCGAUUCAGCGGCG